AUUGAACGCUGGCGGCAUGCUUUACAUAUGCAAGUCGAACGGCAGCGCGGGCUUCGGCCUGGCGGCGCGUGGCGAACGGGUGAGUAAUACAUCGGAACGUGCCAGUAGUGGGGGAUAGCUCGGCGAAAGCCGGAUUAAUACCGCAUACGACCUGAGGGUGAAAGCGGGGGAUCUUCGGACCUCGCGCUAUUGGAGCGGCCGAUGGCAGAUUAGCUAGUUGGUGGGGUAAAGGCCUACCAAGGCGACGAUCUGUAGCUGGUCUGAGAGGACGACCAGCCACACUGGGACUGAGACACGGCCCAGACUCCUACGGGAGGCAGCAGUGGGGAAUGUUGGACAAUGGGCGAAAGCCUGAUCCAGCAAUGCCGCGUGUGUGAUGAAGGCCUUCGGGUUGUAAAGCACUUUUGGCGGGAAAGAAAAGGACUGUGCCAAUACCACGGUUCGAUGACGGUACCCGCAGAAUAAGCACCGGCUAACUACGUG
Molecule: ribosomal RNA, 483 nt
Filed under: uncultured bacterium
Lineage: Bacteria
Description: partial 16S ribosomal RNA
Rfam family: Bacterial small subunit ribosomal RNA
Source: RNAcentral